This is a long non-coding RNA of Oncorhynchus masou masou (cherry salmon), 694 nucleotides long. RefSeq lists it as uncharacterized. The transcript is spliced from 3 exons. The record is from RefSeq and is a predicted model, not a curated record. NCBI's taxonomy places the organism in Eukaryota, Metazoa, Chordata, Actinopteri, Salmoniformes, Salmonidae.
GCAAGCUGCUGGGGUGGUAGUGGACAUUAUGGUGGAAAGUGUUGAGAACACACAGGAAAAUGGACAGGGUGCUUCACAUCUUGACGACCUCCGAUCUGCUGUUAGGAAAUUGAGAAAAAUCAUUUCCACUUGGACCAUCCACAUUUUCAGCCAUGAAUUGGUGGAUAAAGUGAUAGCCCUUCAGGACAGCCACAGCACUCCACAGGUCUUAACAUUGGAAGCAGCCAAAAGUGCUUCAGACUCCAUUCUUUCAAGGCUGAAAUGGGGAAAGGAACAAUGUGCCAUAUCCAAGGAGCUCUCCUCUCAGCUUCUCCAGAUAUUUGCUGAAGAGACAGUGAAGGGCUUCCUGAGACAGUGGUCAGAUGAGUAUGAAAAUAUAAACUUUGAUGUUUCAGUCCAGAACGAUCCAAAGACUUCUACUUGCAUGGUCAUUCUUCAAAUGAUCACCAAAGCCACUGCUAAAUGUUAUUUUGAGUCCGCUACCAGCGUGGCCACCAGUGACAUUGUAGAAGGCGUGUUUGAUUUGGAAAGGGAUACCAUCAGCAGUACUGGAGAGCAGGUCCUCACCUUUAACACAAAGGGUUCCAAGAAAGUUAGUAAGAACCUCUGUCCUCAAGAGUCUCUGGAGUACCAGCCUCAGAACAUUUCCCCUACUGUGUACUUUACAGAGACGAUGACAACAUCUCAUGGCUCC